GCAUAUCAAUAAGCGGAGGAAAAGAAACCAACAGGGAUUGCCUCAGUAACGGCGAGUGAAGCGGCAACAGCUCAAAUUUGAAAUCUGGCCCUAGGCCCGAGUUGUAAUUUGCAGAGGAUGCUUUUGGCGAGGUGCCUUCCGAGUUCCCUGGAACGGGACGCCAUAGAGGGUGAGAGCCCCGUCUGGUCGGACACCGAGCCUCUGUAAAGCUCCUUCGACGAGUCGAGUAGUUUGGGAAUGCUGCUCUAAAUGGGAGGUAUAUGUCUUCUAAAGCUAAAUACCGGCCAGAGACCGAUAGCGCACAAGUAGAGUGAUCGAAAGAUGAAAAGCACUUUGAAAAGAGAGUUAAAUAGCACGUGAAAUUGUUGAAAGGGAAGCGUUUAUGACCAGACUUGGCCCGGUUGAUCAUCCAGCGUUCUCGCUGGUGCACUCUGCCGGUCCAGGCCAGCAUCAGUUCGUCGCGGGGGAUAAAGGUUUCGGGAAUGUGGCUCCUCCGGGAGUGUUAUAGCCCGUUGCGUAAUACCCUGUGGUGGACUGAGGUCCGCGCUUCUGCAAGGAUGCUGGCGUAAUGGUCAUCAACGACCCGUCUUGAAACACGGACCAAGGAGUCGUCUUCGUAUGCGAGUGUUCGGGUGUAAAACCCCUACGCGUAAUGAAAGUGAACGCAGGUGAGAGCUUCGGCGCAUCAUCGACCGAUCCUGAUGUUCUCGGAUGGAUUUGAGUAAGAGCAUACGGGGCCGGACCCGAAAGAAGGUGAACUAUGCCUGUAUAGGGUGAAGCCAGAGGAAACUCUGGUGGAGGCUCGCAGCGGUUCUGACGUGCAAAUCGAUCGUCAAAUAUGGGCAUGGGGGCGAAAGACUAAUCGAACCUUCUAGUAGCUGGUUUCCGCCG
This 891-nucleotide ribosomal RNA is filed under the name Paramyrothecium foeniculicola. RNAcentral describes it as "LSU rRNA". It matches the Rfam family "Eukaryotic large subunit ribosomal RNA", at positions 38 to 963 of the family's 3401-position model. Lineage: Eukaryota; Fungi; Ascomycota; Sordariomycetes; Hypocreales; Stachybotryaceae. The record is from RNAcentral.